Paramuricea clavata is the source of this 282-nucleotide non-coding RNA. Lineage: Eukaryota; Metazoa; Cnidaria; Anthozoa; Malacalcyonacea; Plexauridae. The record is from the annotation of a GenBank genome assembly.
CUUGAUACAGAGUUCUAUAGUUUGUUAAAAGUAUUAAGUUCCUUCAUGGCUUGUUGUAUGUCAUAGAAAGGAAAUAAACAAAAGUAUUUUUAUUUAGACAUGGAUUUGGCAGUUAAAAUUGCCGAGUGUCAGACAAUAGCUGAAUUAUCAACCUUGGAAAGGCUAUAUUUGUUGAAUGAAGUGGAACAACGCAUUCUUUUCGAGAGGAAAUUGGAAAUUUUUCGUCGAAUAACGGAAUGGAGAGUAGAAAAUGAGCAGCUAGGGCUUACGGCUGACUUUACG